This is a non-coding RNA of Oncorhynchus mykiss (rainbow trout), 1956 nucleotides long. Lineage: Eukaryota; Metazoa; Chordata; Actinopteri; Salmoniformes; Salmonidae. The record is from RefSeq and is a predicted model, not a curated record.
GGGAAAUUCACGUGACCGGAAACUCAGACUUCUGCGGAAGCAGUGCAAAUAUUUGCUCAAAUGUCAAACCAUUUCCCGGGAAAACGAAGCAAAACAAACUAACUAAGCGAGGGAGAGAUGAGUAAUCGUUCGUACGUACGUAAGUAGGUUAGCUUGCUACUUUUGAUUGUCUUUGAUCGCGUGUAGUGAGUCGCCUAUGAUGGUAUGCAGCCUGAAGCGAAGGAUCCAGAGGAGGAUAGUGUCUGGGAGGAACCACCUUCAAUGCUGUGGGGACUGGACCCCAUGUUCAACGCUUUCACCAGGCUCUAUGUCAAAGACAUCCUACAGAUGAGAGAGUCCUGUCAAGUGUCAGGGAUAUACUUCUACAACUCUCACCCGAUAUUCAAAGUUGAUGUGCUCGGGACUGUGGUGUACAAACGAGAGCGAGAAGACUUCUUCUGUUACGGUGUUGAUGAUGGUACUGGUGUUAUAAACAGCCUUUGCUGGAAAGAUGAACCGUGGAGGGAGCAAGGUGACCCUGCUACACCAGGGGCAAGGUCCUUCGGUAGCAGCGCUCGUGAAGACUUCAACCCAGCCAACGAGCUGAAGAAACUACGGCAAGCCCAACAUAGCAGCUCCCACCUGGAGAUAGGAGAACUGCUCAGGGUGCGAGGGCCCGUCAAGACCUCCAGACAACAGCGAGAGAUAAUGGCCUCCACUUACUAUAAAGUGUCAGACCCAGUGAUGGCGGUCCAGAUAUCCUGGAUGAUGGAGGUUCCUCAGCUCUACAGAGAGUGCUAUGAUAAACCAUUCCAUCUGGACAGCAGUGCACAGAACCCUAACAUUCAAGGUGGUUCUGCUUCAUACCUGCUUGGCAGAGCCACUCAUAUCCUGAAGGACUUCCUGAAAGUGAAAGAAGUCACCAGGUUCAGACCCUAUGAUGUCCAGGACCUUCUACAGCCUCUGGUCUCCAGACAACCUCAGAAGACAGCAGCAGAACAAGUACACAUACAGUGGGAAGAACAAGAGCCUGAGGCUGGUCCAUCAUCGGGUCCACCAACAUCUUUCAAACAGCUCAGGGAGCUACUCCAGAAGAGCCUUCAGAUUCUGCAGGACGAAGGCUUGGUGUUCCGCAAGGUCAAAUGUCAGGAUGAAGUUUACCAUGUAACGGAACGGGACAAGGAUCUUCUCAUGGCAAUCAGAGACAUUCUUCGGGAAGAUUGCAGACGAGAGAAAUAUGCGGAAAAGGGUUGCCACAUCCUGCACAUCCUGUCCAGUGUGAGACAGAGGUACAGUCGCAACGUGAGCAAGGCAGCCUUGGAACUGGUCCUCAAAGCUCUGGAGUGUAAUAGUGACAUCAUCAGCACCAGCGACAGUCAUUACACUAUCCUCUGACGCUGAUUUAGACAUUCUGGGACAUUCCACAAACUAUCUGAAAUGGGAGUGAAACGGGGAGGUACUAUCCGACCUUGUCCAAUAAGAAACGCAUGUUUUUAUGCUCCCUGCUGUUUCAUUACAAUAUGUAUAACGUGUGCCCUAAUAAAUAUGACCUUAAUAAAUGUGAUUAUUACUUAACAUGGCCGUCUUCAAGAUGUCAGUCGCUAUCAAUCAUGCUGGAGCUAUGUACAUUUGUAUGAAUGUGUAUUUAAGGAGUACAGUUUUGUGCAAUAUUUAUUUUUAAAAUGUGCUAAAGUUGUAUAAAUUAUGUGUACAAUACCUGGAUUUAGAAUUAAACUUGGAGCAUAUGCUCAUUUUGCACACGGGGGCAGUAUUUCGUCGUUUAAUAUGCACCGCGAUGCAGCCCGUUCGCUGAUUGGUCCACUUUGAAACAUCUGUAUCCAUACGUCCAAGCUAUUGAUGAGAGCAGCCUAUAGCGUCUUAUGACUCAGUUGCCACCGCUGUCAACGAAACUGCGAGGCAUAAGAAGCAAUAUAUGGAAUCGUUUAUGCUAUCUAGGCCCAAAGAACAAAUAGGUUG